GCGUGAGUGAAGAAGGCCUUAGGGUUGUAAAGCUCUUUCAGCAGGGAAGAUGAUGACGGUACCUGCAGAAGAAGCCCCGGCUAACUCCGUGCCAGCAGCCGCGGUAAUACGGAGGGGGCUAGCGUUGCUCGGAAUUACUGGGCGUAAAGAGCACGUAGGCGGGUAUUCCAGUCAGGCGUGAAAGCCCCGGGCUCAACCCGGGAACUGCGCUUGAUACUGAAUACCUAGAGUCCGAGAGAGGGUGGUGGAAUUCCCAGUGUAGAGGUGAAAUUCGU
This 275-nucleotide ribosomal RNA is filed under the name uncultured bacterium. RNAcentral's name for it is "partial 16S ribosomal RNA". It matches the Rfam family "Bacterial small subunit ribosomal RNA", at positions 399 to 691 of the family's 1533-position model. The record is from RNAcentral.